Molecule: ribosomal RNA, 468 nt
Filed under: uncultured bacterium
Lineage: Bacteria
Description: partial 16S ribosomal RNA
Rfam family: Bacterial small subunit ribosomal RNA
Source: RNAcentral
GACGAACGCUGGCGGCGUGCUUAACACAUGCCAGUCGAACGGAAAGGCCCUGCUUUUGUGGGGUGCUCGAGUGGCGAACGGGUGAGUAACACGUGAGUAACCUGCCCUUGACUUUGGGAUAACUUCAGGAAACUGGGGCUAAUACUGGAUAGGAGCUCCUGCUGCAUGGUGGGGGUUGGAAAGUUUCGGCGGUUGGGGAUGGACUCGCGGCUUAUCAGCUUGUUGGUGGGGUAGUGGCUUACCAAGGCUUUGACGGGUAGCCGGCCUGAGAGGGUGACCGGCCACAUUGGGACUGAGAUACGGCCCAGACUCCUACGGGAGGCAGCAGUGGGGAAUAUUGCACAAUGGGCGGAAGCCUGAUGCAGCAACGCCGCGUGCGGGAUGACGGCCUUCGGGUUGUAAACCGCUUUCGCCUGUGACGAAGCGUGAGUGACGGUAAUGGGUAAAGAAGCACCGGCUAACUACGUG